RNAcentral lists this ribosomal RNA (119 nucleotides) under Triticum dicoccoides. The record is from RNAcentral. Lineage: Eukaryota; Viridiplantae; Streptophyta; Magnoliopsida; Poales; Poaceae.
GGAUGCGAUCAUACCAGCACUAAAGCAGCGGAUCCCAUUAGAACUCCGAAGUUAAGCGUGCUUGGGCGAGAGUAGUACUAGGAUGGGUGACCUCCUGGGAAGUCCUCGUGUUGCAUUCC